AACAAACGCUGGCGGCGUGCCUAAUACAUGCAAGUCGAACGGGGAAAGCCUUCGGGCGAGUACUAGUGGCGCACGGGUGAGUAACACGUGGGUAAUCUGCCUUAAAGUGGGGAAUAACCAGUCGAAAGACUGGCUAAUACCGCAUAAGACCACAGGAUCUGCGGAUCUAGGGGUUAAAGGAGUAAUUCGCUUUAAGAUGAGCCCGCGCGGGAUUAGCUAGUUGGUGGGGUAAUGGCUCACCAAGGCUUUGAUCUCUAGCUGGUCUGAGAGGAUGAUCAGCCACACUGGAACUGAGACACGGUCCAGACUCCUACGGGAGGCAGCAGUAGGGAAUAUUGCGCAAUGGGGGGAAACCCCUGACGCAGCGACGCCGCGUGAGCGAUGAAA
RNAcentral lists this ribosomal RNA (387 nucleotides) under uncultured bacterium. Its description in RNAcentral is "bacterial SSU rRNA". It matches the Rfam family "Bacterial small subunit ribosomal RNA", at positions 29 to 413 of the family's 1533-position model. The record is from RNAcentral.